CGUUACGAACGUGACUCAAUACAUUAAAUAGAUUCCUAUCAGAUAAGUAAACUGUUGAUGCUUGCCUAUGGCUUGCUUUCGGGUAGGUCAUUGGGUAAGUGGAAGUUUACCUGAUAGUUUGUCAACUGUCAAAGGUUGGCUUUGAUCUGCUUAAUGAGACAAAUUGUGUUUAGCAAAAUGAGAUUGAGCAAUAACAGGUCCGUGAUGCCCUUAGAUGUCCUGGGUUGCACGCGCGCUACAAUGAGACCAUCAACGUGAUACCUGAUCUGAAAGGAUUGGGAAAUCACUUAAAUGUGCUCUUAGUUGGGAUUGUGGAUUGUAAUUAUUCACAUGAACCUGGAAUUCCCAGUAAAUGCUAGUCAUCAGCUAGCGUUGACUAAGUCCCUGCCCUUUGUACACACCGCCCGUCGCUAUUACCGAUUGGUUAUUUAGUGAGGUCUCCGGAGGUAAUCGCCGAAGAUGCUUAGGUAUCAUUAGGUUGUUUUGCCAAAGUUGACCGAACUUGAUGAUUGAGAGGAAAUAAAAGUCGUAACAAGGUUUCCGUAGGUGAACCUGCGGAAGGAUCAUUA
RNAcentral lists this ribosomal RNA (569 nucleotides) under Simulium sheilae. RNAcentral's name for it is "SSU rRNA". It matches the Rfam family "Eukaryotic small subunit ribosomal RNA", at positions 1326 to 1831 of the family's 1831-position model. Lineage: Eukaryota; Metazoa; Arthropoda; Insecta; Diptera; Simuliidae. The record is from RNAcentral.